This 519-nucleotide ribosomal RNA is filed under the name uncultured eukaryote. Its description in RNAcentral is "SSU rRNA". It matches the Rfam family "Eukaryotic small subunit ribosomal RNA", at positions 1161 to 1699 of the family's 1831-position model. The record is from RNAcentral.
AGGGCACCACCAGGAGUGGAGCCUGCGGCUUAAUUUGACUCAACACGGGAAAACUCACCCGGCCCGGACACUGGAAGGAUUGACAGAUUGAGAGCUCUUUCUUGAUUCAGUGGGUGGUGGUGCAUGGCCGUUCUUAGUUGGUGGAGUGAUUUGUCUGGUUAAUUCCGAUAACGAACGAGACUCUAGCCUACUAAAUAGAUCGUCGGCUUACAAACGCCGGCGAGACUUCUUAGAGGGACAGGCGGUGAUUCAACCGCACGAAACAGAGCAAUAACAGGUCUGUGAUGCCCUUAGAUGUCCGGGGCCGCACGCGCGCUACACUGAAGUGAUCAGCGUGCAUUUUCUACCUACUCUGUCAAGAGUGGGGAACCCAAUGAACCUUCUUCGUGAUUGGGAUAGGGGAUUGUAAUUAUUCCCCUUGAACGAGGAAUUCCCAGUAAGCGCGAGUCAUAAGCUCGCGUUGAUUACGUCCCUGCCCUUUGUACACACCGCCCGUCGCUACUACCGAUUGAAUGUUUU